GGGUUUCACUGUGUUAGCCAGGAUGGUCUCGAUCCCCUGACCUUGUGAUCCACCCAAGGCCUCGGCCUCCCAAAGUGCUGGGAUUACAGGCAUGAGCCACCGUGCCCGGUCAAUUUUUAUAUUUUUUGUAGAGACAGGGUUUCACCAUGUUGGCCAGGCUGGUGUCGAACUCCCGACCUCAGGUGAUUGUCGGCCUUGGCCUCCCAAAGUGCUGGGAUUACAGGCGUGAGCCACCGCGCCCAGCCGGUGGGCAGCCAGUUGUGUUCCGGGAGGAGGAGGACACCCUGGAAAGACAGUGGGGCCAGACACUGAACUGCCUUUGGAAGCAAGUAGGAGCAACAGCGAAGGUUUGCUGGCUCAGUGGCACCCGAGCUCUGUGAGGGCAAGACUUUGUUCGGUUGUGGGCUAUGCCCCCAACCCCUCGGACAGUGCCUGCACAGGUGGACAUUUUUGUUGGAUGAAGGAUUUUCUGUUAAAUGUGUCUGGCACACACAGAAAAACAAAGCCCAGCAGAUGCCGUUCCAUUGUUUGCUGACUUUCAUUGAUUCUAUGAGAAGUCUGCAGUCUUUUGCAGCGUUGUUUUCCUAUGUAUAAUUGUCUCCUCCCACCCCACUCACCCCAGCUGCUUUCCACAUUCUCUCUCUUUGAUUUUCAGCAGUCUGCCCAUGAUGUGCCUAAAUAGGACUUUCUUUGCAUUCAUCUUGGCUGGGGCUCACUGAACUUUCUGAAUCUGUAGAUUAAUUUUCUUUUUUCAAUAAACCUUGGAAUAUUUUCAGCAUAA
RNAcentral lists this long non-coding RNA (781 nucleotides) under Homo sapiens (human). RNAcentral describes it as "long intergenic non-protein coding RNA 963". The record is from RNAcentral. Lineage: Eukaryota; Metazoa; Chordata; Mammalia; Primates; Hominidae.